RNAcentral lists this ribosomal RNA (229 nucleotides) under uncultured bacterium. RNAcentral's name for it is "partial 16S ribosomal RNA". It matches the Rfam family "Bacterial small subunit ribosomal RNA", at positions 568 to 796 of the family's 1533-position model. The record is from RNAcentral.
UGCGUAGGCGGAUUGAUAAGUCAGUGGUGAAAACCUUCAGCUUAACUGGAGACUUGACAUUGAUACUGUUAGUCUUGAGUACGGUCAAGGUAGGCGGAAUGUGUAAUGUAGCGGUGAAAUGCUUAGAUAUUACACAGAGCACCGAUUGCGAAGGCAGCUUACUGGGCCAUUACUGACGCUGAGGCACGAAAGCGUGGGGAGCGAACAGGAUUAGAUACCCUGGUAGUCC